UAGCAGCCCGUUUCUCUCUUUCUUUUGACUGUCUCGUGGAUGGACGAAAGAAGAGAAGUUACAGAAGGGGCAGUGAAGGCUCGCCAAGUGGACAGCAAUCCCCCACCCCCGCAGUCCUGUGUUGCAGUAGCGUGCCCUACUUUAAUAAGGGAUCAGUAGCUGGUCCGAGAGGAUGAUCAGCCACACUCGGACUGAGACACGGCCCAGACUCCUACAGGAGGUAGCAGUGAGGAAUUUUCCUCAAUGGGUGAAAGCCUGACAGAGCAAUGCCGCGUGGAGGUGGAAGGCCUACGGGUCGUCAACUUCUUUUCUCGGAGAAGAAACAAUGACGGUAUCUGAGGAAUAAGCAUCGGUUAACUCUGUGCCAGCAGCCACAGUAAGACAUAGGAUGGAA
This 394-nucleotide non-coding RNA is filed under the name Triticum aestivum (bread wheat). RNAcentral describes it as "Bacterial small subunit ribosomal RNA". It matches the Rfam family "Bacterial small subunit ribosomal RNA", at positions 155 to 537 of the family's 1533-position model. RNAcentral also lists the same sequence under 1 other name. The record is from Rfam by way of RNAcentral. Lineage: Eukaryota; Viridiplantae; Streptophyta; Magnoliopsida; Poales; Poaceae.